AUUGAACGCUGGCGGCAGGCUUAACACAUGCAAGUCGAGCGGUAACACUUCGGGUGACGAGCGGCGGACGGGUGAGUAAUACAUAGGAAUCUGCCUAGUAGUGGGGGAUAACGUAGGGAAACUUACGCUAAUACCGCAUACAUCCUACGGGGGAAAGCAGGGGAUCUUCGGACCUUGCGCUAUUAGAUGAGCCUAUGUCGGAUUAGCUAGUUGGUGGGGUAAAGGCCUACCAAGGCGACGAUCGGUAACUGGUCUGAGAGGAUGAUCAGUCACACUGGAACUGAGACACGGUCCAGACUCCUACGGGAGGCAGCAGUGGGGAAUAUUGGACAAUGGGGGCAACCCUGAUCCAGCCAUGCCGCGUGUGUGAAGAAGGCCUCGG
Molecule: ribosomal RNA, 382 nt
Filed under: uncultured bacterium
Lineage: Bacteria
Description: bacterial SSU rRNA
Rfam family: Bacterial small subunit ribosomal RNA
Source: RNAcentral